Molecule: ribosomal RNA, 253 nt
Filed under: uncultured bacterium
Lineage: Bacteria
Description: partial 16S ribosomal RNA
Rfam family: Bacterial small subunit ribosomal RNA
Source: RNAcentral
UACGUAGGGGGCAAGCGUUGUCCGGAUUUAUUGGGCGUAAAGAGCGUGUAGGCGGCUUUGCAAGUCCGUUGUGAAAACUCGAGGCUCAACCUCGAGACGCCGGUGGAAACUGCAAAGCUAGAGUCCGGAAGAGGAGAGUGGAAUUCCUGGUGUAGCGGUGAAAUGCGCAGAUAUCAGGAAGAACACCAGUGGCGAAGGCGGCUCUCUGGGACGGUACUGACGCUGAGACGCGAAAGCGUGGGGAGCGAACAGG